RNAcentral lists this ribosomal RNA (460 nucleotides) under uncultured bacterium. RNAcentral's name for it is "bacterial SSU rRNA". It matches the Rfam family "Bacterial small subunit ribosomal RNA", at positions 30 to 490 of the family's 1533-position model. The record is from RNAcentral.
AUUGAACGCUGGCGGCAUGCCUUACACAUGCAAGUCGAACGGCAGCGGACCUUCGGGUGCCGGCGAGUGGCGAACGGGUGAGUAAUAUAUCGGAACGUACCUUUCAGUGGGGGAUAACGUAGCGAAAGUUACGCUAAUACCGCAUAUUCUGUGAGCAGGAAAGCAGGGGAUCGCAAGACCUUGCGCUGAUUGAGCGGCCGAUAUCAGAUUAGCUAGUUGGUGAGGUAAAGGCUCACCAAGGCGACGAUCUGUAGCGGGUCUGAGAGGAUGAUCCGCCACACUGGAACUGAGACACGGUCCAGACUCCUACGGGAGGCAGCAGUGGGGAAUUUUGGACAAUGGGCGCAAGCCUGAUCCAGCCAUGCCGCGUGAGUGAAGAAGGCCUCGGUUGUAAGCUCUUUCGGCCGGAGAAUACGCACAGGUUAAUACCCUGUGUGGAUGACGGUACCGGAAUAAGAAG